GGCCUAACACAUGCAAGUCGAACGGCAGCACAGAGGAGCUUGCUCCUUGGGUGGCGAGUGGCGGACGGGUGAGGAAUACAUCGGAAUCUGCCUUGUCGUGGGGGAUAACGUAGGGAAACUUACGCUAAUACCGCAUACGACCUACGGGUGAAAGCGGAGGACCGCAAGGCUUCGCGCGACAAGAUGAGCCGAUGUCGGAUUAGCUAGUUGGCGGGGUAAAGGCCCACCAAGGCGACGAUCCGUAGCUGGUCUGAGAGGAUGAUCAGCCACACUGGAACUGAGACACGGUCCAGACUCCUACGGGAGGCAGCAGUGGGGAAUAUUGGACAAUGGGCGCAAGCCUGAUCCAGCCAUGCCGCGUGGGUGAAGAAGGCCUUCGGGUUGUAAAGCCCUUUUGUCCGGAAAGAAAAGCUUUCGGCUAAUACCCGGAAGUCCUGACGGUACCGGAAG
Molecule: ribosomal RNA, 450 nt
Filed under: uncultured bacterium
Lineage: Bacteria
Description: bacterial SSU rRNA
Rfam family: Bacterial small subunit ribosomal RNA
Source: RNAcentral